RNAcentral lists this transfer RNA (69 nucleotides) under Ictidomys tridecemlineatus (thirteen-lined ground squirrel). RNAcentral's name for it is "Spermophilus tridecemlineatus (thirteen-lined ground squirrel) tRNA". It matches the Rfam family "tRNA". Rfam says of the family: Transfer RNA (tRNA) molecules are approximately 80 nucleotides in length. Their secondary structure includes four short double-helical elements and three loops (D, anti-codon, and T loops). Further hydrogen bonds mediate the characteristic L-shaped molecular structure. tRNAs have two regions of fundamental functional importance: the anti-codon, which is responsible for specific mRNA codon recognition, and the 3' end, to which the tRNAs corresponding amino acid is attached (by aminoacyl-tRNA synthetases). tRNAs cope with the degeneracy of the genetic code in two manners: having more than one tRNA (with a specific anti-codon) for a particular amino acid; and 'wobble' base-pairing, i.e. permitting non-standard base-pairing at the 3rd anti-codon position. The record is from Rfam by way of RNAcentral. Lineage: Eukaryota; Metazoa; Chordata; Mammalia; Rodentia; Sciuridae.
GGGGCUGUGGCUCAGAGGCAGAGCACUUGCCUGGCAUGCGUGAGGCCCUGGGUUCGAUCCUCAGCACCA